AACGAACGCUGGCGGCAGGCUUAACACAUGCAAGUCGAACGGGCACCUUCGGGUGUCAGUGGCAGACGGGUGAGUAACGCGUGGGAACCUACCCAGUGGUACGGAAUAACUCGGGGAAACCCGAGCUAAUACCGUAUACGCCCUCAGGGGGAAAGAUUUAUCGCCAUUGGAUGGGCCCGCGUCGGAUUAGCUAGUUGGUGAGGUAACGGCUCACCAAGGCGACGAUCCGUAGCUGGUCUGAGAGGAUGAUCAGCCACACUGGGACUGAGACACGGCCCAGACUCCUACGGGAGGCAGCAGUGGGGAAUAUUGGACAAUGGGCGAAAGCCUGAUCCAGCCAUGCCGCGUGAGUGAAGAAGGCCUUAGGGUUGUAAAGCUCUUUCGGCGGGGAAGAUAAUGACGGUACCCGCAGAAGAAGCCCCGGCUAACUCCGUGCCAGCAGCCGCGGUAAUACGGAGGGGGCUAGCGUUGUUCGGAAUUACUGGGCGUAAAGCGCACGUAGGCGGACUGCU
RNAcentral lists this ribosomal RNA (512 nucleotides) under uncultured bacterium. RNAcentral's name for it is "bacterial SSU rRNA". It matches the Rfam family "Bacterial small subunit ribosomal RNA", at positions 28 to 584 of the family's 1533-position model. The record is from RNAcentral.